Pipra filicauda (Wire-tailed manakin) is the source of this 133-nucleotide long non-coding RNA. RefSeq lists it as uncharacterized. The transcript is spliced from 2 exons. The record is from RefSeq and is a predicted model, not a curated record. Lineage: Eukaryota; Metazoa; Chordata; Aves; Passeriformes; Pipridae.
AGAUUCAACUGGAUACAUCCUUGAGUGCCAUUUCUUGCUUCUUCACUUGGGAAAGGCAGAGGAAAGGAGCAAGGAGGGAUAUCUGUCACUACAGUAAAACAAUGGAAAGAAAAUAAACACGUUGAAACAGUGA